RNAcentral lists this non-coding RNA (47 nucleotides) under Trichobilharzia regenti. The record is from RNAcentral. Lineage: Eukaryota; Metazoa; Platyhelminthes; Trematoda; Strigeidida; Schistosomatidae.
AUCCAGUGAUGAGUGCCAAAUAGGACGAAAUGCGCGUUAUCCUGGAU